This 303-nucleotide ribosomal RNA is filed under the name uncultured bacterium. Its description in RNAcentral is "partial 16S ribosomal RNA". It matches the Rfam family "Bacterial small subunit ribosomal RNA", at positions 507 to 809 of the family's 1533-position model. The record is from RNAcentral.
AGCAGUAGCCACGGUAAUACAGAGGGUGCGAGCGUUAAUCGGAUUUACUGGGCGUAAAGCGUGCGUAGGCGGCUAAUUGAGUCGGAUGUGAAAUCCCCGAGCUUAACUUGGGAAUUGCAUUCGAUACUGGUUAGCUAGAGUGUGGGAGAGGAUGGUAGAAUUCCAGGUGUAGCGGUGAAAUGCGUAGAGAUCUGGAGGAAUACCGAUGGCGAAGGCAGCCAUCUGGCCUAACACUGACGCUGAGGUACGAAAGCAUGGAGCAAACAGGAUUAGAUACUCCCGUAGUCCCUGUCUCUUAUACAC